UGGCGGACGGUGAGUAACGCGUGGGUAACCUGCCUCAUACAGGGGGAUAACAGUUAGAAAUGACUGCUAAUACCGCAUAAGCGCACGGUUUCGCAUGGAACAGUGUGAAAAACUCCGGUGGUAUGGGAUGGACCCGCGUCUGAUUAGCUGGUUGGCGGGGUAACGGCCCACCAAGGCGACGAUCAGUAGCCGGCCUGAGAGGGUGAACGGCCACAUUGGGACUGAGACACGGCCCAAACUCCUACGGGAGGCAGCAG
This 257-nucleotide ribosomal RNA is filed under the name uncultured bacterium. RNAcentral describes it as "partial 16S ribosomal RNA". It matches the Rfam family "Bacterial small subunit ribosomal RNA", at positions 96 to 354 of the family's 1533-position model. The record is from RNAcentral.